GAUGAACGCUGGCGGCGUGCUUAACACAUGCAAGUCGAACGAAGCACCUUAUUCUGAUUUCUUCGGAAUGAAAAAUUUGGUGACUGAGUGGCGGACGGGUGAGUAACGCGUGGGUAACCUGCCUCAUACAGGGGGAUAACAGUUAGAAAUGACUGCUAAUACCGCAUAAGACCACGGCACCGCAUGGUGCAGGGGUAAAAACUCCGGUGGUAUGAGAUGGACCCGCGUCUGAUUAGGUAGUUGGUGGGGUAACAGCCUACCAAGCCGACGAUCAGUAGCCGACCUGAGAGGUUGACCGGCCACAUUGGGAAUGAGACACGGCCCAAACUCCUACGGGAGGCAGCAGUGGGGAAUAUUGCACAAUGGGGGAAACCCUGAUGCAGCGACGCCGCGUGAGCGAUGAAGUAUUUCGGUAUGUAAAGCUCUAUCAGCAGGGAAGAAAAUGACAGUACCUGACUAAGAAGCACCGGCUAAAUACGUGCCAGCAGCCGCCGUAA
This 497-nucleotide ribosomal RNA is filed under the name uncultured bacterium. Its description in RNAcentral is "partial 16S ribosomal RNA". It matches the Rfam family "Bacterial small subunit ribosomal RNA", at positions 28 to 523 of the family's 1533-position model. The record is from RNAcentral.